GAGGUAUGAGGAAAACGUGAGCAGUCUGAUUUUCACUGAAGAUUGUUAAGAUCCAACUCUGAUCUCAAUAAAGCC
This is a small nucleolar RNA of Suricata suricatta (meerkat), 75 nucleotides long. Ensembl annotates it as small nucleolar RNA, C/D box 19. The record is from Ensembl. Lineage: Eukaryota; Metazoa; Chordata; Mammalia; Carnivora; Herpestidae.